CCAGUUAUCCCUGACAGCUAUCAGUUAUUUAAUAUUGUUCCACACUGUAAAAAAUGUUUGUGAAAAUAACAGUGAAAUUCUGUAAAAUUGUGACAUCUAAAUUUUGUAAAUAGAAAAACAAUGAAACAGCGUUAAAUUUACAGUAUGCUUUUGUAAAAAAUAAAAAUACAGUUGUAAAAUGUUAAACUAAAUUAAACUGUUAAUUGUACUGUAAGACUGUGUAUCAAUAACAAUGUUUAUUUGUAAAAUUUACUGAUCACUGUUAAUUGAAUAGUAAAAACAUGUAAUACUGAAAACUGCUGUAAAAAUUACAAAAUGAUACUAAACAAACAAAAAUCAGCUAUUACAGAUAAAAAAGCAAGUGUAAGCAAGUAGAACUAUCACAAAUGUUAUCCUACAUGACAUAUUUACAAGUUUUAAAUGAGGGGUUUUAAGGCAAUGUGUCUGUUUAGAAUUGUCCUUAUGGUCUAUAAGCUAUUUUAGCUUUGCUAAUUAUCAUAUUUAAUGUAGGCUUACAUAGAAAGAUAAGGGUUAUUUGUCCCCAAGGGUCCUUUAUUUUUGCGAUGUGUUUCUAUUUAAAAUGUAUGCUUUUGCGUAAAUUAACGUCUGCGUUUGAAUUUCAAACUCUGUUCUGCCUUGUCCAAUCACCAAUCUGAUUCUUGCGGGAGCAGCCAUUUUACAGAUAUUGUUUGUGAGAGCGCGCGCUCAAUCUGUCCUGCCCGCGAGAAAAAGCUGUGGAAGACGUCUUGCAGCAUUUCUAACUACCGAGGCACUGUGAACCUCUGAAACUUGAUUCUGUUGUUCAUGAUUUACAAUCUGAAGACUAUCAAGAGAUCAAAGGAAUAAAGGCCAGACACCAGAAACAAGCAGCUCAUCACAACCUUCCACAGCCUUCCAUAGUUCACCUGCAAGUUCUCAAUCGUCCUCCACCAGCAGCUCCCAAAGCCCAGAUGUAGACUGGGUGGAUACGUUUCUGAUACCAUGGGAUACAUUUUUUGGAGAGAGGAAAACUACCAAGUUCACGAAUGAGAAGAGAGAUGGUCCGAAUUGUGGCCAAUCCUGCUUUUCAUCGAAGCGUUUCCUGCUGUGUGUGGAUCGAAAUGUUGUACAUGACAACAUCCCCUCCUUUAUUUCUGCCCUGUGCAUGAUGUUUGGGAGCUAUUAUUGCUUCGACAUCCAUUACCCAUCAGAGCUGGCAUCAAUCUUGGAGUUUUUGCAGAAGUGUUUCUUCUCUAUCAACCCAGAGAAAGGCACUAAAGUGGAGAAGACAAACACAGCCCGUCUUCAUGUGAACCCAAGAGUUCUUACCUUGAUCCAGGAACUUUCAGAUCAUGAAUGGCGUGACGUCUAAAUAUGGACUGAAGUCAGUAAGAUUUGACAUACAGUGAAUGCCAGUUUCUCAGGUUUGUUUGAUCUGCCAUGCUUAAUGUAUGUGUUUAAGUUAGUACACAACUAUUAGCGUUUUUAUCUAGUGUUUUCUGAAUUAGGUAAUUCCUGAAUUGGUUGUUUGUAUGGAAUAUUUGUUUAUAAAACAACUCUUAAAUCGAUUUAAAAGAAAAGUUGGUAGCACUUUAAAAUAACUACAAACUAUGAACCAUUUAUUAAGCAUUAGCAUAUAGUGAAUUAAUUUACUGUUGAGCAUUAACUCUACUAUAAUAAACAUUAGUAGACAGUUUAUAGCUACAGCUAAAAAUGCUGUAUUCUUGACUUAAAAGCAUGUGUAUUGUGCUUAAUAAUUGUGUUUUCAUACUUGGUUAAAGAUUCUUUUUUCAUUACUAAAUUAAGUAUAGUAUUAUUUACAAACCAGUUAUUUAAGAGUAGUUGGUGGUUUUUUUAAGAUCAUUCAGAAUGCGUAAGUUAAUUAUUAAUAAACUAUUGAAAUCAACAUUUAUAUAUCUUAUUAUUCGGGCAUAUAUUAAUAGUUAAUUUGUAUGUUAAUAAAUGCUUUAUUAACUCAACUUCAUCUAGUUUUGUGACCUAAUCUAAAGUGAGGACUAUUUAUGCUUUAUAAAUCCCUUAUUAAAUUCUUAACAGGAAUUAUUUUUUUUAAUUUGAAGAAACACAAAUGAAACUCUGUCAAAUGAAAAAUUAAUCUUUGCAAUCUUAUGUAAAAUAAAAUUACUGUACAGUUUAAACAUUGCUAAAUAAUAAAAUGUUGCAUCCUAUUAUAUUGUUAAAUUAUAUUGUUGUUUAAUCCAAUUUUAUGUCAUUAUGACACUCCUGUUAUUCAGUAAUGUUUAAACUUUACAGUAGUUUAACUUUUUAGAUCAGAUUGAAAAGAUGUAUUGGUCAUUUUAUACUGAGCCUUUAUUAGUCAUUUAUAAGGGAUUUAUAAAGCAUAAAUAGUCCUCACUUUAGAUUAGGUCAUAAAACUGGAUGAAGUUGUGCUAGUAAAGCAUUUAUCAACAUACAUGGUAACCAUUUCUAUAUGCCUGAAUAAUAAGAUAUAUAAACAUUGUUUUCAAUGGUUUAUUAGUCAUUUACUAACUCACUCAAUUGUCUUAAAUAUCUCCAACUGCUCUUAAAUACAAAUGGUUCGUAAAUAAUGUGAUACUUAAUUUAGUCAUGAAAAAUCAAUUACUCACAAAUUAUGAAAGUACAACUAUUAAACACAUUAUAAAUGUGCUCAUAAGACAAGAAUACAGCAUUUGUAGCCUUGUAUAUAAACUGCUUACUAACGUCUGUUAAUGUAGAGUUAAUGCUUAACAGUUAAUGUUAAUAGCUAUUAUUGUUAAUAGCAUAUAGUGAAUAGUUAAUUCACUAUAUGCUAAUGGUUGAUAAAUGAUUCAUAGUGUGUAGGUAUUACAAAGUGUUACCGAAUAUCUUUCAUUUUAUUGCCAUUUAAAUUUUAGUUUCACUGGCAAUGUCUCCCAUGUCUUUGUCUAUAAUUUUCCUUAUUUGUUUUUUUAAAGAAGACAAUCAUUAAUCUGUCACAUGCUUUCAAAAUGGUGAAUGUAUAGUUUGUAAGGAAAGUAAGCAAUACAAAUGUGAACUGACAGACAAUGUUGACUUGUUUAUGGUUAAUAAAUACAAAUUAUAAUUUGGUUACUAAGUCUUUGAGUGCUGUUUCUGGUCUAAGCAUAUCUAGAAUUUAUAUUCCUAAGUAAUGUGUAACAUACAAGUUAUCGUAUUAAUGGUCAAGGGUAAAGCAAAUGAUUUACAGUUGCUACUGAAAUCAAACUAUGUUCAGUAUACGAAACAACAUUGGUCUUCUUAAAAUAAUUGGUUUAGGUGUAGUUGUGCCAUUUCAGAAAAGAUUUACUUGUUUACUUUUUGAUAAUUAUGAAUAAACAAUUGACUAAAGUGAUGAUUUUAUGCUGUUAAGUUGUUUAUAUUUUACAAUGUAUUUUUGUUACAUAAUUAUUGUGGCAACCACAGCUGCCAGAUUAGUUAUUCUAUAUGUUCAACAGUUUUAAAUUGUAAAGAGGUUUACAUUUUUAUUGUAAUUUUUACAAAAUUAUUCUGGCAACCACAGCUGCCAAAAUAUUUUUGUAAAAACAACAAGAUUUCUUUGUUAAAAUACUAAAAAUGUAAUUAUUUCUUACACAAACUUUCUGUAAAUUUUACAUAAUAUUAAUUUGUUUUUACAUAAUUAUUCUGUACAUAAACAGUUUUAAAUUGUAAACCGGUUUACAAUUUUAUUGUAUUUUUUACAAAAUUAUUCUGGCAACCAUAGCUGCCAAAUUUUUUUUGUAAAAACAACAAGAUUUUUUUGUUAAAAUACAAAAAAUUUUAUUAUUUCUUACAUAAAAUUUCUGUAAAUUUGACAUAUUAUUAAAUAGUUUUUUACAUAAUUAUUUUGUACAUAAACAGUUUUAAAUUGUAAACAGGUUUACAAUUUUAUUGUAUUUUUUACUAAAUUAUUCUGGCAACCACAGCUGCCAAAUUUUUUUUGUAAAAACAACAGAAUUUUUUUUACAGUGCAAGCUGUCUUUUGUCUGUUGCAAAUGAAUAAGUAAAAGUUAGCUGACCCUAUACUGUGUGAAAUAGAAAUCUGGUCCAGUAUAAAUUCAGUAAUCAGCAAUCAAAGCUGCCAGGUGGGCAUAUUUUGACUGUGAUGUGAAUAUAUUAUUAUGCAAUCAAAAAUAAAAAAAUAAAAUAAAAUAAAUGCUGGACUUCUUAUUCCUUGAUGCUUGUCAUUUUUUGGGUGCUUUAGUGUCUCUUCUUG
Long non-coding RNA from Danio rerio (zebrafish), 4168 nucleotides. The record is from Ensembl. Lineage: Eukaryota; Metazoa; Chordata; Actinopteri; Cypriniformes; Danionidae.